This 1101-nucleotide long non-coding RNA is filed under the name Ailuropoda melanoleuca (giant panda). RNAcentral describes it as "lncRNA (ENSAMEG00000028634.1)". The record is from RNAcentral. Lineage: Eukaryota; Metazoa; Chordata; Mammalia; Carnivora; Ursidae.
UUCCCCGCUUCGCCCGCUCCUUCAUCUGAAUGGGAAGUUGGGGAACAUGGACGGGGUCGUGCUGGCGUGGAUCGCUCUCUUCUGGCUAACAGGGUUUGGCUGAUCCACGUCUCCCCACUCCCCUGGCCUCCCAGUGCCUUCCACUUCCACCCUCACUGAUUCUGAACGUCCUUGAUUUGCCUCUUCUGUGUUAUCAUGCUAGAAGGGAACUUAGGCCUGAAACCCGUAUCACCACCUCCCCGAGGUCAACUAGGCAUCCCGGGGUGGGAGGGCUCUACGUCAGAGAUGCUCUUCCAGACACCCCAGGGUGUGCCCAAGAAAAUCACCUGAGGGAUUUGCAGGGAGUGGGAGCAGGAGGGGAACAUAUAGCCCUGCUAGAUGGCCAACAGCUGUUGAUGAGAUGGAAUCGUAUCACUGGAAGGGGCCGCAGGCCAUCUGGGCCAGCUCUCCCAGUUUAUAGAAAUGGAGACCCAGAGAGGUAAUAGGCACAGAGCAAAUGUGUCAUGGAGCAGGGACUCGAACCCAGUUCUCCGAACCCCAGGCCAGCCCCACGUGCACUCUUCGAAGCUGCCUCUCUGGGGUUUUUGGUUGUAGGGAGUUCUGUUUUGUGUGCAUUUUGAGGGGAGUUGCUGCUUUGUCCGUGCCUUCUCUUGCCUGGUGGCAGGCAACAGGUUAGUUCCCAGGGCCAUCUCAGCUGUCAGAUGGCUGGGCUUCUGCGCUCUGCACAUGAGGCUGGCUCUCAAGAUCCCACUGAGCACUGCAGGCAUCCCCUGAGCCCAGCGUCUGCUUCCCCCCUCAGCCCAUCAGCCUGUCAGUAGUGCUGCUGGACAAGCUGCCUUCCUCUCAGCCUCAGCAAAGUAGAGGAGCUAACAAUGGCGCCUGGGGGGUGGGGGAGAGGAGCAGUCAAGGAUGAGAGGGAUUCAGACUCAUCGUUCCCAGCAAAACCAUGAGAGGAAAGGUAAGAAAUUUCAGUCCAGCCCAAUCAAUGAAUUCUCUCUUGAGGGGGUGGUACAAAGGGAGGGAGAAUGAGGACAGAUUAAAAAUGAGUCAGAGAGUGGGGGGGGGGAGGACGACACAUUCAUUCUCCCUCUCCCUCCCUUU